This 447-nucleotide ribosomal RNA is filed under the name uncultured bacterium. RNAcentral describes it as "partial 16S ribosomal RNA". It matches the Rfam family "Bacterial small subunit ribosomal RNA", at positions 29 to 523 of the family's 1533-position model. The record is from RNAcentral.
AACGAACGCUGGCGGCAGGCUUAACACAUGCAAGUCGAGCGCCCCGCAAGGGGAGCGGCAGACGGGUGAGUAACGCGUGGGAAUCUACCCAUCCCUACGGAAUAGCUCCGGGAAACUGGAAUUAAUACCGUAUCCGCCCUACGGGGGAAAGAUUUAUCGGGGAUGGAUGAGCCCGCGUUGGAUUAGCUAGUUGGUGGGGUAAAGGCCUACCAAGGCGACGAUCCAUAGCGGGUCUGAGAGGAUGAGCAGCCACAUUGGGACUGAGACACGGCCCAAACGCAUACGGGAGGCAGGAUUGGGGAAUGUUGCACUAGGGGGGCAACCCUGAUCCGGCCAGGCCGCGUGAGUGAUGAAGGCCUUAGGGUUGUAAAGCUCUUUCACCGGGGAAGAUAAUGACGUUACCCGGAGAAGAAGCCCCGGCUAAGUGCGUGCCAGCAGCCGCUGUAA